AUUGAAGGUUUGUGGCAACCCUCCAUGGAGCAAGUCCAUUGGCAUCAUUUUUCCAAGAGCACUUGCUCACCUGUGUCUCUGUGUCACAUUUGGGCCAUUCAUUCAUUUAAGAAGCACUGUUUGGAUUGUCUAUCAUGUGUAAUGCAGUCUACUAGGGACUGGAAUAUAUACAAAGAUACAGAAGACAGAGUUCCCCACUAAAGGUGCUCACAGCGAGAGAAGAUAUGAUGAAAUGUGACUUUGAAGCUGGUGGAAAAGUUACAAGGUGUUCUAAUGUACACAUAAGAACAGGCACACGGCUUCUCCCUUUCUUCCAGUGUCCACAGAGAGUAUUUUAUUAGUAGACAAGAGGAAUAAAAUGCAUUGAUGUACCCCCUGAA
Molecule: long non-coding RNA, 380 nt
Organism: Prionailurus viverrinus (fishing cat)
Lineage: Eukaryota; Metazoa; Chordata; Mammalia; Carnivora; Felidae
Exons: 2
Source: RefSeq, a predicted model, not a curated record